This is a long non-coding RNA of Plutella xylostella (diamondback moth), 788 nucleotides long. RefSeq lists it as uncharacterized. NCBI's taxonomy places the organism in Eukaryota, Metazoa, Arthropoda, Insecta, Lepidoptera, Plutellidae. The record is from RefSeq and is a predicted model, not a curated record.
CGCGAUUCACAUCUCAACCGAAAUAUUUGUAAAGCGAUACGAACGAGUUACGAGAUGAAAUCCGCAAUGUUUAAAAACGCGAUUCAUAGCACACAUACUUUGAUCUCGUUUUCAUAUCGCUAGUUCGUAUUUGGAUGGCUUGAGUGAAAUGAAUGAAACUAUAUUUUUUUUAAUUGCCAUGCAAAAAUUAUAAAUACUACCACUAAUUGUUUUAAAUAAUUUUGUUCCUACAAUAUAUUUUGUUGGAAUUAGUGUCGAUAGCAAGUAUCAAGAAACAGCUUUUUAAUUCAACGUUGAAGAAAUUCAUAUCCUGUGGCACUUUUGACAGCCGCCAUGUUUUCUCCAUAAAAACAUUGAUUUUCUUUGCUCAUUUUCGUGUCAACGUAGUUUUUUUGGAAAAUAAGAAGAAAGGAAGUUUAACUUACUUAGAGAAAUACGACUGAGACAUAAACACAAGCAGCAGCCGAUGUGCUUGAGUUGCAGAAGGAGCAACUGCGUUGUGAGAGCGCCACGGCUUCAGCCCUCACAAUGAUAGCUGAUUAGCUGAAGUAAUGAACAGACAGGCUGCAGUCAAUGAGAGGCUUCUUGAGGAGGUGUUCCUCAUAUGGAAAUCAUUUUAGCGGCGACGCAGUUGCGCGACCAGUGAAGCUCUGGCUCCGCGACCGGCGUGGAGCGCGCGGUCCGCGCGGCGCUGCUGCGGCUGCUGCGCGGGAGGAUCCCGUCCCUGCGCAUGCGCCUGGCCUUCAAUGACCUCACGCCUCUCUUCUUCCUCUUCUUCAUGCGUCAAU